This 523-nucleotide ribosomal RNA is filed under the name uncultured bacterium. RNAcentral's name for it is "bacterial SSU rRNA". It matches the Rfam family "Bacterial small subunit ribosomal RNA", at positions 29 to 525 of the family's 1533-position model. The record is from RNAcentral.
AACGAACGCUGGCGGCGUGGAUAAGACAUGCAAGUCGAACGCUAAUUUUUCAGUAGCAAUAUUGGAAAGUUGGAGUGGCGCAAGGGUGCGUAACACGUGGGUAAUCUACCGCGAAGACCGGAAUAACCUGCUGAAAAGUGGGCUAAUGCCGGAUGUGGUUUACGGGGGGCAUCCCCUGAAUCCUGAAGUUGGGGACCGAAAGGCCUAACACUUUGCGAUGAGCCCGCGGCCUAUCAGCUAGUUGGUGAGGUAAAGGCUCACCAAGGCUAAGACGGGUAGCUGGUCUGAGAGGACGACCAGCCACACUGGAACUGAGACACGGUCCAGACACCUACGGGUGGCAGCAGUCGAGAAUUUUUCACAAUGGGGAAACCCUGAUGGAGCGACGCCGCGUGGGGGAUGAAGGGGCUUCGGCUCGUAAACCUCUGUCACCGGGGAAGAACGCUAUGCGAUAAUAUCGCCUAGCCUGACUUAACCCGGAGAGGAAGCAGUGGCUAACUCUGUGCCAGCAGCCGCGGUAAUC